Dreissena polymorpha is the source of this 1225-nucleotide long non-coding RNA. RefSeq lists it as uncharacterized. The transcript has 2 exons. The record is from RefSeq and is a predicted model, not a curated record. NCBI's taxonomy places the organism in Eukaryota, Metazoa, Mollusca, Bivalvia, Myida, Dreissenidae.
GCUCGAAAAUGUUAAAGUUCUUAUUUCAUGGUAUAACUUUGGUAUGCUUGGACCUAGAGUCUUCAAACUUGACAUGAAGGUUGGCCAGGAUUAACAGAUGACCACUGGUCAUUUCAAGGUCAUUCAUUUGAAGGUCAAGGUCACUGUGACCUUCAAUAUAAAAAAUGUUAAAGUUGUUAUAACUUUGGUAUGCUUGGACCUAGAGUCUUGAAACUUGACAUGAAGGUUGGCCAUAACUAGUUAGUAACCACUGGUCAUUUCAAGGUCAUUCAUUUGAAGGUCAAGGUCACUGUGACCUUGAAUGUAAAAAUGUUUAAGUUGUUAUAACUUUGGUAUGCUUGGACCUAGAGUCUUGAAACUUGACAUGAAGGUUGGCCAGAACUAGUAAGUAACCACUGGACAUUUCAAGGUCAUUCAUUUGAAGGUCAAGGUCACUGUGACCUUGAAUGUAAAAAUGUUAAAGUUCUUAUUUCAUGUUAUAACUUUGGUAUGCUUGUACCUAGAGUCUUCAAACUUGAAAUAAAGAUUGGCCAGUACUAGAAGAUGACCACUGGUCAUUUCAAUGUCAUUCAUUUGAAGGUCAAGGUCACUGUGACCUUAAAUGUUAAAAUGUUAAAAUUGUUAUAACUUUGGUAUGCUUGGACAUAGAGUCUUCAAACUUGACAUGAAGGUUUGCAAGCACACUUAGAUGACCACUGGUCAUUUCAAGGUCAUUCAUUCUAAGGUCAAGGUCACUGUGACCUUGAAUGUAAAAAUGUUAAAGUUCUUAUAACUUUGGUAGGUAAAAAUGUUAAAGUUCUUAUUCCAUGUUAUAACUUUGGUAUGCUUGUACCUAGAGUCUUCAAACUUGACAUAAAGGUUGGCCAGUACUAGAAGAUCACCACUGCUCAUUUCAAUGUCAUUCAUUUGAAGGUCAAGGUCACUGUGACCUUCAAUGUAAAAAUGUUAAAAUUGUUAUAACUUUGGUAUGCUUGGACCUAGAAUCUCAAACUUGACGUAAAGGUUUGCAAGCACACUUAGAUGACCACUGGUCAUUUCAAGGUCAUUCAUUUGAAGGUCGAGGUCACUGUGACCUUGGAUGUAAAUAUGUUAAAGUUGUUAAUACUUUGGUAUGCUUAGACCUAGAGUCUUCAAACUUGAUAUGAAGGUUGGCCAGAACUAGUAGAUGACCACUGGUCAUUUUAAGGUCAAGGUCACCGUGACCUUGAAUGUAAAAAUGUUAAAA